GUACCCUCAAGCUCUGCUUGGUGUUGGGUGUUUGUCUGGGGGCGUUGCCCCGCGACUCGCCUGAAAACAAUUGGCAGCCAGGAUUUUGGUAUAGAAGCGCAGCACAAUUUGCGUCUCUAGCCGAUCAGACUGGCGUCCAUGAAGCUCUUUGUCACCU
Molecule: unclassified non-coding RNA, 157 nt
Filed under: uncultured soil eukaryote
Lineage: Eukaryota
Description: sequence contains ITS2
Source: RNAcentral